UGUAUUAGAAUGAGUGUUGGUUAACCUGGAUGUAUGUGGUUAGUUCAUUUUGAUUUUAUCUUAGUCUUGAUUUCUUAAAGCUGCAGUUCAGAUUAACUACUCAACAAUAACUAUCGGGACCAGUGAUUUGAUCUUUCGGAAAGAGUAUCUCUACCUCCACGAGGAACGACAGAUAAUAAUUUAUGGGCACUGAAAAGCAAAUAUGUACAAAAAGUUGAAGAGUUGAUGGUCCCUGUGAAAGCUGUGACACCACUAGAAUUGAAUGAUAGACUGUAAAAUUUUAAUGUUCUUUCACCUCCUUGAUUAUUCUUCUUUUCUUUCUUUCUUUUGAAGUUGUUUAAUUUGUGUUAACAUUUCAUGUCUUUUUCUUUAUUGAUGGUUUGGUAUGGUGUAUAAUUUGCAGAUGCUUGAAUGAAUAAACUUUGUUUUCUAAUUUUUCA
Molecule: long non-coding RNA, 440 nt
Organism: Solanum tuberosum (potato)
Lineage: Eukaryota; Viridiplantae; Streptophyta; Magnoliopsida; Solanales; Solanaceae
Exons: 2
Source: RefSeq, a predicted model, not a curated record